This 1346-nucleotide long non-coding RNA is filed under the name Homo sapiens (human). RNAcentral describes it as "HSALNT0306801". Lineage: Eukaryota; Metazoa; Chordata; Mammalia; Primates; Hominidae. The record is from RNAcentral.
GUUUACACUUGGGUCCUGUGCCCAAGAAACCUUAUUAUGUAUAUGCAAAUAUCCUAAAAUCAGAAAUCUAAAACACUUUUGGGCCCAAGAAUUUUGGAUAAGCGAUACUCAGCCUGUAUAAGAAUUUGUACUUCUGUACUGGCAGACACAAGUCCUUUCUCUGCUUCUCUAGGAUAGGCUGCAUGUCCCUCCAGGAAUCUCAUUUGUAAGUUUUAAGUAACAAAUGGAAUGAAAAUGUUGUCAUAGACACUGUGAUGUGCUGCUCUCUAAGGACUGCUUUGGCAGAAGAGUCUCUUUGCCCUUUCACUCUCCCUUCCCAAGGGCAGCUGACACCAUGACUGGUCAAUGUAGUGGUAUACUUAGCCCCUGUAUCCCAACAAGGGGCAACUCUGAAGGGUCACCCCAGCUUGAGAACUCUGAAAAUCAAAGGCUGGUGUCUCAGGUUGUGGCCCAUUUAUGGUCUUGAAAUCAACUGAAUGUGUUAUGACCAGCGAGACAAAACGAAACAGAAUGGAACAGGGGGAAAUGUAGCAGCAUGUCAUAUUAGGUGACUGGAGUCAGGGAGAGAGCCUGUGCCUGUGCGAGGAAUGGUACAUAACCUCCGUGCUCCUUGGAAAAUCAGCAGCAGCAUUUUCAUAUCUGAAGAAUCUCUAUGCCAACUAUGUCAACCUUUUCAGAUGUGCAAAUUGCACCUAGUAGGUACAAGGGCUAGCAGAUGGCUCUAAUUUCAGAGUGCCCUUGACUACUAAAAAGAAGGCACUGAUGAGAAUUUGUCUCAGGCCAGUAUUUGGUUCUGCUACAUAUAGAAGGGAUUAGCCCUUCACUCGGAGGAUCACCAGCACAUACUCUCUGUGUGGCCCAGUCCAACUUCUGUCCUGUGGGCUGCUGCCCUGUUCUACCACCUAGUGCCCAGGCAAAACCCACAUUUUAAAAUGCAAAGGAAUAACCACUGCAUGGUAAACUUAGUGGGAAGGAAUCAUACAUACUACAGGAUCAGAUGUGCAUCCACAGGAGCAAUUUUCUGAAUUGACCAAGAAGAUGGAGGAGAGCUUAAUUGUAUGACUCGUGGAGCCUUUAAAAUUUUGCGGCAACAAUGUUACUGUUGCUUAUUAUUAUAAAAACAACCUCGACUUUAUGAUCAGUUUUAUGAUUUUUCUAUCUUCAGCUCCACCUUCCAGGAAGAAGAUCAGCAAGCAAAAUGAACAAAAUUUAUAUUUUGGCUGCAUUCAUGCAGAGACUUUUUUUGGAUAAGCACUCUCUCUACCAACAAGUAACUAACAUUUAACUGCCUAAAUCACAUCUUAGUUUUUGAAUACCAAAGAAAUGCAAAAAAGAAGCCAGCUGUA